UGAGCUUUGAUCCCUGGCUCAGGACGAACGCUGGCGGCGUGCCUAAUACAUGCAAGUCGAGCGGAGUUAUGAAGGAGCUUGCUCCWGAUUAACUUAGCGGCGGACGGGUGAGUAACACGUAGGCAACCUACCUCUUUGACUGGGAUAACUACCGGAAACGGUAGCUAAUACCGGAUAAUUCCUUUGUUCACAUGGACGAAGGAUGAAAGGCGGAGCAAUCUGCUACAAGGAGAUGGGCCUGCGGCGCAUUAGCUAGUUGGUGGGGUAACGGCUCACCAAGGCGACGAUGCGUAGCCGACCUGAGAGGGUGAACGGCCACACUGGGACUGAGACACGGCCCAGACUCCUACGGGAGGCAGCAGUAGGGAAUCUUCCGCAAUGGGCGAAAGCCUGACGGAGCAACGCCGCGUGAGUGAUGAAGGUUUUCGGAUCGUAAAGCUCUGUUGCCAGGGAAGAACGUCCGGUAGAGUAACUGCUACCGGAGUGACGGUACCUGAGAAGAAAGCCCCGGC
This 512-nucleotide ribosomal RNA is filed under the name Paenibacillaceae bacterium CL2.61. Its description in RNAcentral is "bacterial SSU rRNA". It matches the Rfam family "Bacterial small subunit ribosomal RNA", at positions 1 to 497 of the family's 1533-position model. The record is from RNAcentral. Lineage: Bacteria; Bacillati; Bacillota; Bacilli; Caryophanales; Paenibacillaceae.